UUUAACUUUAACCGAACAAACAAGGAUACUUAAACGAACGGAGUUUCUUGUUCAUGCUUGUUUGUUAAGAAAAUGAACAUGUCCGUGCGCAUUUAUGUUUGUUCACUAAUAUUCUAAACAAACAUAAAUGAAGAAAAUGAAUGUGUUUUUAUUGUUCAUCAGUCGAAAAAACCUGUUUCCUUUCUAGCUAGAGUUUUUUGUAUGUUCGAGAUAAAAUCUCACCUUAAAAGUUCAG
This 235-nucleotide long non-coding RNA is filed under the name Helianthus annuus (common sunflower). RNAcentral describes it as "hypothetical non coding rna". The record is from RNAcentral. Lineage: Eukaryota; Viridiplantae; Streptophyta; Magnoliopsida; Asterales; Asteraceae.